AGCGUACACGGUGGAUGCCCUGGCAGUCAGAGGCGAUGAAGGACGUGCUAAUCUGCGAUAAGCGUCGGUAAGGUGAUAUGAACCGUUAUAACCGGCGAUUUCCGAAUGGGGAAACCCAGUGUGAUUCGUCACACUAUCAUUAACUGAAUCCAUAGGUUAAUGAGGCGAACCGGGGGAACUGAAACAUCUAAGUACCCCGAGGAAAAGAAAUCAACCGAGAUUCCCCCAGUAGCGGCGAGCGAACGGGGAGCAGCCCAGAGCCUGAAUCAGUGUGUGUGUUAGUGGAAGCGUCUGGAAAGGCGCGCGAUACAGGGUGACAGCCCCGUACACAAAAAUGCACAUGCUGUGAGCUCGAUGAGUAGGGCGGGACACGUGGUAUCCUGUCUGAAUAUGGGGGGACCAUCCUCCAAGGCUAAAUACUCCUGACUGACCGAUAGUGAACCAGUACCGUGAGGGAAAGGCGAAAAGAACCCCGGCGAGGGGAGUGAAAAAGAACCUGAAACCGUGUACGUACAAGCAGUGGGAGCACGCUUAGGCGUGUGACUGCGUACCUUUUGUAUAAUGGGUCAGCGACUUAUAUUCUGUAGCAAGGUUAACCGAAUAGGGGAGCCGAAGGGAAACCGAGUCUUAACUGGGCGUUAAGUUGCAGGGUAUAGACCCGAAACCCGGUGAUCUAGCCAUGGGCAGGUUGAAGGUUGGGUAACACUAACUGGAGGACCGAACCGACUAAUGUUGAAAAAUUAGCGGAUGACUUGUGGCUGGGGGUGAAAGGCCAAUCAAACCGGGAGAUAGCUGGUUCUCCCCGAAAGCUAUUUAGGUAGCGCCUCGUGAAUUCAUCUCCGGGGGUAGAGCACUGUUUCGGCAAGGGGGUCAUCCCGACUUACCAACCCGAUGCAAACUGCGAAUACCGGAGAAUGUUAUCACGGGAGACACACGGCGGGUGCUAACGUCCGUCGUGAAGAGGGAAACAACCCAGACCGCCAGCUAAGGUCCCAAAGUCAUGGUUAAGUGGGAAACGAUGUGGGAAGGCCCAGACAGCCAGGAUGUUGGCUUAGAAGCAGCCAUCAUUUAAAGAAAGCGUAAUAGCUCACUGGUCGAGUCGGCCUGCGCGGAAGAUGUAACGGGGCUAAACCAUGCACCGAAGCUGCGGCAGCGACGCUGAUGCGUUGUUGGGUAGGGGAGCGUUCUGUAAGCCUGCGAAGGUGUGCUGUGAGGCAUGCUGGAGGUAUCAGAAGUGCGAAUGCUGACAUAAGUAACGAUAAAGCGGGUGAAAAGCCCGCUCGCCGGAAGACCAAGGGUUCCUGUCCAACGUUAAUCGGGGCAGGGUGAGUCGACCCCUAAGGCGAGGCCGAAAGGCGUAGUCGAUGGGAAACAGGUUAAUAUUCCUGUACUUGGUGUUACUGCGAAGGGGGGACGGAGAAGGCUAUGUUGGCCGGGCGACGGUUGUCCCGGUUUAAGCGUGUAGGCUGGUUUUCCAGGCAAAUCCGGAAAAUCAAGGCUGAGGCGUGAUGACGAGGCACUACGGUGCUGAAGCAACAAAUGCCCUGCUUCCAGGAAAAGCCUCUAAGCAUCAGGUAACAUCAAAUCGUACCCCAAACCGACACAGGUGGUCAGGUAGAGAAUACCAAGGCGCUUGAGAGAACUCGGGUGAAGGAACUAGGCAAAAUGGUGCCGUAACUUCGGGAGAAGGCACGCUGAUAUGUAGGUGAAGUCCCUCGCGGAUGGAGCUGAAAUCAGUCGAAGAUACCAGCUGGCUGCAACUGUUUAUUAAAAACACAGCACUGUGCAAACACGAAAGUGGACGUAUACGGUGUGACGCCUGCCCGGUGCCGGAAGGUUAAUUGAUGGGGUUAGCGCAAGCGAAGCUCUUGAUCGAAGCCCCGGUAAACGGCGGCCGUAACUAUAACGGUCCUAAGGUAGCGAAAUUCCUUGUCGGGUAAGUUCCGACCUGCACGAAUGGCGUAAUGAUGGCCAGGCUGUCUCCACCCGAGACUCAGUGAAAUUGAACUCGCUGUGAAGAUGCAGUGUACCCGCGGCAAGACGGAAAGACCCCGUGAACCUUUACUAUAGCUUGACACUGAACAUUGAGCCUUGAUGUGUAGGAUAGGUGGGAGGCUUUGAAGUGUGGACGCCAGUCUGCAUGGAGCCGACCUUGAAAUACCACCCUUUAAUGUUUGAUGUUCUAACGUUGACCCGUAAUCCGGGUUGCGGACAGUGUCUGGUGGGUAGUUUGACUGGGGCGGUCUCCUCCUAAAGAGUAACGGAGGAGCACGAAGGUUGGCUAAUCCUGGUCGGACAUCAGGAGGUUAGUGCAAUGGCAUAAGCCAGCUUGACUGCGAGCGUGACGGCGCGAGCAGGUGCGAAAGCAGGUCAUAGUGAUCCGGUGGUUCUGAAUGGAAGGGCCAUCGCUCAACGGAUAAAAGGUACUCCGGGGAUAACAGGCUGAUACCGCCCAAGAGUUCAUAUCGACGGCGGUGUUUGGCACCUCGAUGUCGGCUCAUCACAUCCUGGGGCUGAAGUAGGUCCCAAGGGUAUGGCUGUUCGCCAUUUAAAGUGGUACGCGAGCUGGGUUUAGAACGUCGUGAGACAGUUCGGUCCCUAUCUGCCGUGGGCGCUGGAGAACUGAGGGGGGCUGCUCCUAGUACGAGAGGACCGGAGUGGACGCAUCACUGGUGUUCGGGUUGUCAUGCCAAUGGCACUGCCCGGUAGCUAAAUGCGGAAGAGAUAAGUGCUGAAAGCAUCUAAGCACGAAACUUGCCCCGAGAUGAGUUCUCCCUGACUCCUUGA
RNAcentral lists this ribosomal RNA (2787 nucleotides) under Escherichia coli. Its description in RNAcentral is "bacterial LSU rRNA". It matches the Rfam family "Bacterial large subunit ribosomal RNA". The record is from RNAcentral. Lineage: Bacteria; Pseudomonadati; Pseudomonadota; Gammaproteobacteria; Enterobacterales; Enterobacteriaceae.